This 253-nucleotide ribosomal RNA is filed under the name uncultured bacterium. RNAcentral describes it as "partial 16S ribosomal RNA". It matches the Rfam family "Bacterial small subunit ribosomal RNA", at positions 524 to 776 of the family's 1533-position model. The record is from RNAcentral.
UACGGAGGGUGCAAGCGUUGUUCGGAAUCAUUGGGCGUAAAGCGCGUGUAGGCGGCUUGGCAAGUCGGUUGUGAAAGCCCGGGGCCCAACCCCGGAAUUGCAUCUGAAACUGCCUAGCUAGAGUCCCGGAGAGGAAGGCAGAAUUCCCGGUGUAGGGGUGAAAUGCGCAGAUAUCGGGAAGAACACCUAUGGCGAAGGCAGCUCUCUGGGACGGUACUGACGCUGAGGAGCGAAAGCCAGGGGAGCGAACGGG